AUUUUUCCGAUUUUGGAAAUUUGAUGGUGUUUGUGUACCGUUGCAGGUGAUUGCCAAAGAAUCUCUCUUCUGACUGCACAGGUUUCAAUUACAUUCACACGAUAUUUUAACGGACUGGGCCAGAAGAACAUCUUUUUGGCAACGAUGAAGAAAGAAGAGUGAAGUCCUGAGGAACAAUCUGAAAGUUGGGACGUGAAAAACAAAAAUAUUUUGGUGUGUAUUAUAUCUAUAUGAACAGCUUAGUCUCCAACUUUUUUAGCUAUGUAAUGUGUUCUGUAAACACCUAUCUUUUAUUCCUUAAUGAACAUAAGGAUGUAAAUAGAGUUUGAUAUGGAUGUAAAUGGAUUUUAA
Molecule: long non-coding RNA, 351 nt
Organism: Malus domestica (apple)
Lineage: Eukaryota; Viridiplantae; Streptophyta; Magnoliopsida; Rosales; Rosaceae
Source: RefSeq, a predicted model, not a curated record